Molecule: ribosomal RNA, 253 nt
Filed under: uncultured bacterium
Lineage: Bacteria
Description: partial 16S ribosomal RNA
Rfam family: Bacterial small subunit ribosomal RNA
Source: RNAcentral
UACGGGGGGUGCAAACGUUGCUCGGAAUUAUUGGGCGUAAAGCGCACGUAGGCGGUCCUGUAAGUCGGGUGUGAAAGCCCGGGGCUUAACCCCGGAAGUGCACUCGAAACUGCAAGGCUUGAGUAUGGAAGAGGGUCUCGGAAUUCCCGGUGUAGAGGUGAAAUUCGUAGAUAUCGGGAGGAACACCAGUGGCGAAGGCGGAGACCUGGGCCAAUACUGACGCUGAGGUGCGAAAGCGUGGGGAGCAAACAGG